Molecule: ribosomal RNA, 253 nt
Filed under: uncultured bacterium
Lineage: Bacteria
Description: partial 16S ribosomal RNA
Rfam family: Bacterial small subunit ribosomal RNA
Source: RNAcentral
UACGAAGGGUGCAAGCGUUAUUCGGAAUGAUUGGGCGUAAAGGGUGUGUAGGCUGUAAGUUAAGUCAAUUGUCAAAUUCCUCAGCUUAACUGAGGCACGGCAGUUGAAACUGGCAUACUUGAGGGUGGAAGAGAGAAGCGGAAUUCUCGGAGUAGCGGUAAAAUGCGUAGAUCUCGAGAGGAACACCGAUGGCGAAGGCAGCUUCUUGGUCCACUUCUGACGCUGAGGCACGAAAGCGUGGGGAGCAAACAGG